CUCUGGGUGGCAUCUGCUCCACCUGGCGGUGCCAGGCCCACCGCUCCCCGGGCCUCAGUUUCCCCGUGUGAACUCGGGCGGGGGAGGGAAGGAGGGGCGCCCCGGCCGCAGGCUAUCCACGAGUCUGCCUUAAAAGGCAAACGGCGGCGGGUCGCGCAGCCAAACUUAGUCAUCCGGCCCGCGGGCCGCCGGCGCGCUGCGCGGCUUCCUCCCCGAACUUCCCGUUUUCCGAGGGGCCCGGGGAGGGGUCCGAGGGGCGGCUGGGCAUUUCGAAACAUCCGGCGGCGCCCUCGGGGCCUGGGCCGCGGCCCGUGGCGCGGUCUCCAGAGCUGGCGGCCGAGCCCGGCCUCCCCGACGGUGGCCGCCUCAGGGCGCCGCGAGGGAGGGGAGGCCGAGGCCGCGGCCGGACAAAUAUCGGCGAGGGCGGCGGGGGGAAAGCGCGGUGCAGCCCUGCAGUCCGUAACGUGCCAGGACACUCGGGUGAAACCACCCCAACACCCGUGGGCAGGAAGCGGGCAGGAGAAAGGGAUGCGGGAUGGAACAGUGGCCGCGGGGAGUGACCAGCCUGCAGGCACCGGGCAGUGGACGGGUUCAGGACACGACACGCAACCCCACGCUGCCUGGGUCGGGGUCCCUUCGCAGAGCUAAGAGAAGAGGGGAAAAAGCACAAGGGCUGGUCAUCGGACAUGGUGGUCAACCUCUCUGACCCUCAGUUUCUUCUUCUGUACAAUGGGGCAAUCUAAUCCCUUUGGGAUGAGGAACCUGAGGUCUCAAGGGCACACCCGCGCACGACUGCCUAAGCACACGACUGAGCUGUGGAACUGGGCGCCCUGAGCCUGGACAUCAGGAGAAAGCAGAGAGUGCUGAGAGCCGGGGCUUGCAGCCACCCUGCUGGCAGAGGCAGCCCUCCAGUGUCCGAGGAGCCCAGCCUUCCAGCUGAAGACCCUGUACACCCUCAUUCAAAGGGACCUUCUUGCAGGCUCCACCCCCACCGACCCUUGUGGCCUUCAGCCCCUGAUGUAGGGUCAGGUUCCCCAUGCCCCAGGGGCUCACAGGUCAAGGUUGACCCUAGAGGAAACAGCUUAUUCUCCAACAGACAAAUGUUGCUAAUUUCUUUUUUUCUUUUUUUUAAUUUUGGUAUCAUUAAUCUACAAUUACAUGAGCAACAUUAUGGUUACUAGACUCCCAUUAUCAAGUCCCCACCAAAUACCCCAUUACAGUCACUG
Manis javanica (Malayan pangolin) is the source of this 1226-nucleotide long non-coding RNA. RefSeq lists it as uncharacterized. The record is from RefSeq and is a predicted model, not a curated record. Lineage: Eukaryota; Metazoa; Chordata; Mammalia; Pholidota; Manidae.